Long non-coding RNA from Ctenopharyngodon idella (grass carp), 314 nucleotides. RefSeq lists it as uncharacterized. The record is from RefSeq and is a predicted model, not a curated record. The transcript has 3 exons. Lineage: Eukaryota; Metazoa; Chordata; Actinopteri; Cypriniformes; Xenocyprididae.
CAGGGACUUUGGGCAGCAUCUAAAGAAGAGAAGAAGCGUGAAAUCUAUUCAUCACAAUCCAGCAGAAACAGAUCUAAAGAGAUGGACAUUACAUGCGAUGUUUUCGGCCCAGCGGAUCUGCCCUGAGGUGGAACAACAUUAAUGAGUCCUUCAACAAAAACCACUGAAGAACAGCUGAAAACAGUCGCUGCGGGCUUCAGCUGCUUCUCUCUUCAGGACGGGCAUCAUCAGCUCCUGGAUCAACAGAUGUCUGAUUCCUCCUGUGGAGACUGUCGAUCACCCCUAAACAGGGGCAUUUAGCCAGAGACAUCAUU